UUACAUAUAAGGUCCAUGGCAAAAUGGGUGAAGGAACUUUUGGACAGGUCUUAGAGUGCUGGGACCGAGAGAGGAAGGAAAUGGUCGGCAUUAAAGUUCUUCGUGCAAUAAAAAAGUGCUUUUGGUUUCAUCGGAGUAUCUUAAAGUCCCCGAUUACAAGGCAGGAAGCUUUAGAGAGAUAGAAGAUGUUGCACCCUUGAAGGAGAAAUUGGGAAGGCCAUUAUCAAAGCAAGAAAGAAGUGGGAUAGGUGUGAGCAAACUUAGGCUGUUUCUGGAAGAAAUACUACAAAAGAGGUUUGUGAAAAGUGAACCUACUUUAGUUCCACAAUGGUUGAGAAGUAAUGGAAGUGUUACUAGUUCAGCCCACCAUUAUGCAUCUUCAUCUAAUCACACUGAAAACAAUUGCUUCUCCAGGACGUGGUAUUUUGGCCAUGGAUGAAUCCAAUGCUACAUGUGGAAAGCGGUUGGAUUCAAUUGGACUAGAGAACACCGAAGUUAACCAUCAAGCAUGGCGUAAAAUUAUAUAUGAAGAAAGUGUUAUGACUUAGUUAAAAUAUAAUUUUUAUGUGUAUGAUUUUAUAAUACUUGAAAUAU
Long non-coding RNA from Vicia villosa (hairy vetch), 594 nucleotides. RefSeq lists it as uncharacterized. NCBI's taxonomy places the organism in Eukaryota, Viridiplantae, Streptophyta, Magnoliopsida, Fabales, Fabaceae. The transcript has 3 exons. The record is from RefSeq and is a predicted model, not a curated record.